Molecule: ribosomal RNA, 119 nt
Filed under: Pteropus alecto (black flying fox)
Lineage: Eukaryota; Metazoa; Chordata; Mammalia; Chiroptera; Pteropodidae
Source: RNAcentral
GUCUACAGCCAUGCCACCCUGAACGUGCUCGAUCUCAUCUGAUCUCGGAAGCUAAGCAGGGUCGACCCUGGUUAGUACUUGGAUGGGAGACCACCUAGGAAUAUCGGGUGCUGUAGGCG